AGUCAUCCUCCGGUAUAAAUAGUGGAAAACGCCCGCUUGCGCCCAAUCGGCACAAUGAAGUAUUUACAUAUCUUUAUAAUAGUGCUGGUAUUGAGCAUGUGUUUCGCAGCACCUGGAGAAGGAGAUAAAGGAGGGUUCAAAGGCUGCAAGGGUGAUAAGGAUUCAUCAAGUGAUUCAUCCGACAGCAAGAGCAGUGAAAGCAGUAGCAGUGAAGAACAUCCAAAAGGAAAAGGUGAUGGGGGACAUUCUAACGAUAAGGGAAAGAAAUAUUAAGUUACUUUGGUAUACGAACAACUUAUGAUAUCAAACACAUGAUGCACCAAUUUUGUUUGAUUAAAUUUAAAAGAAACAGAUUAUAUUUCUUGCUUUACAAAUAUUUCUCGACACGAGAGUAUUCUUUUUGAAAUAUCUGCUAGUAAAAUGCUUUCAUGUACUUCACACAUACCACUAUUUUAUUUAUGACGAUGACGGUUUUACUAACAAAGCUGGAGCAUUCUCCAAAUUUAUUAUCAAAGUAACAUACUUAAUAUGUAUAAGAAAAUUUGUCUUGUAUCAUAUUCAAAAAGAUUUACGCGAUCAAACAGAAGUUGCUUAUCUUGGUCAGCAAAAUAACAGUGUAUUACGCAAUUAUUUUUAAUUCAAAUAAAACAAAAUUGAUUUGA
Long non-coding RNA from Leptidea sinapis, 662 nucleotides. RefSeq lists it as uncharacterized. The record is from RefSeq and is a predicted model, not a curated record. The transcript has 3 exons. NCBI's taxonomy places the organism in Eukaryota, Metazoa, Arthropoda, Insecta, Lepidoptera, Pieridae.